CAAUAGCGUAUAUUAAAGUUGUUGCAGUUAAAAAUCUCGUAGUUGGAUUUCUGGUGGGAGCGAUCGGUCUGGCGCUUAGCGCGAGUACUUGCAUCGUCUCCGGCCAUCCUUGGGGAGAGUCUGUCUGGCAUUAAGUUGUCGGGCAGAGGAUCCUCAUCGUUUACUGUGAAAAAAUUAGAGUGUUCAAAGCAGGCUUAUGCCGUUGAAUAUAUUAGCAUGGAAUAAUAAGAUAGGACUUUGGUACUAUUUUGUUGGUUUGCGCACCAAAGUAAUGAUUAAUAGGGACAGUUGGGGGUAUUCGUAUUCCGUUGUCAGAGGUGAAAUUCUUGGAUUUACGGAAGACGAACUACUGCGAAAGCAUUUACCAAGGAUGUUUUCAUUAA
RNAcentral lists this ribosomal RNA (383 nucleotides) under uncultured eukaryote. RNAcentral's name for it is "partial 18S ribosomal RNA". It matches the Rfam family "Eukaryotic small subunit ribosomal RNA", at positions 592 to 976 of the family's 1831-position model. The record is from RNAcentral.